This 305-nucleotide ribosomal RNA is filed under the name uncultured bacterium. RNAcentral describes it as "bacterial SSU rRNA". It matches the Rfam family "Bacterial small subunit ribosomal RNA", at positions 335 to 657 of the family's 1533-position model. The record is from RNAcentral.
GUCCUACGGGACGCAGCAGUGGGGGAUAUUGCACAAUGGGGGGAACCCUGAUGCAGCGACGCCGCGUGGGUGAAGGAGUAUUUCGGUAUGUAAAGCCCUAUCGGCAGGGAAGAAGCAAGACGGUACCUGACUAAGAAGCCCCGGCUAACUACGUGCCAGCAGCCGCGGUAAUACGUAGGGGGCGAGCGUUAUCCGGAUUCACUGGGUGUAAAGGGAGCGUAGACGGCCAUGCAAGCCAGAGGUGAAAGCCCGGGGCCCAAACCCGGGACUGCCCUUGGGACGGUGCGGCUAGAGUGCGGGAGGGG